AUUAACAACAUGACAUAUCUGAGAGCGGGCUAGAGAUAUUUGCUUGAGGCAUAAGCCUGCUGAUCUUCUUACGAAAUCUAUACAAUGCCUGAACCAGCUUUUAUUUGGUAUCCUGGGCAAAUGUCAGAUAGGCUAGGGUCUGGCAUUAAUAUGCUUGCAGUCAGUGUUGUGUCCACCUGCAUCCCACGGAAUGAAGUUCUCUGUGUGCAGUGGUCCUGUACCUGUAACCCUGCAAUGCAAAACAUUACAGCCACUAGAGGUGCUUCUGCAGCUCUUACCACGAAAAUCUCAGUCACGUGACGUGGAAGCCACCAUAGGACGGCAUUGUUUUAUUCCUAUGGGGAAGCUUGGAUGCGUGCGCGGUGCUCAUCGUGCGUGCGCAAAGGGUUCCCAAUGCUAAUCUUCGAAGAGCAUUGGAUUGGAUAUCUGCGGAGAAAGCCAUGCCUCCACCGUGGCAUCAAAGGAGGCAGAGAGGUAAGCAGCACAGAGUGAUCCUCAGCAGUGGAAAAG
RNAcentral lists this long non-coding RNA (510 nucleotides) under Pelobates cultripes (western spadefoot toad). Lineage: Eukaryota; Metazoa; Chordata; Amphibia; Anura; Pelobatidae. The record is from RNAcentral.